CACUGGUACUGAGACACGGACCAGACUCCUACGGGAGGCAGCAGUGAGGAAUAUUGGUCAAUGGGCGAGAGCCUGAACCAGCCAAGUCGCGUGAGGGACGACGGCCCUACGGGUUGUAAACCUCUUUUGCCGGGGGACAAACGGCGGCACGCGUGCCGUCCUGAGGGUACCCGGAGAAAAAGCAUCGGCUAACUCCGUGCCAGCAGCCGCGGUAAUACGGAGGAUGCGAGCGUUAUCCGGAUUUAUUGGGUUUAAAGGGUGCGUAGGCGGGAUGCCAAGUCAGCGGUCAAAUACGGGGGCUCAACCUGCGUCCGCCGUUGAAACUGGCGUUCUUGAGUGGGCGAGAAGUACGCGGAAUGCGUGGUGUAGCGGUGAAAUGCAUAGAUAUCACGCAGAACCCCGAUUGCGAAGGCAGCGUACCGGCGCCCGACUGACGCUGAAGCACGAAAGCGUGGGUAUCGAACAGGAUUAGAUACCCUGGUAGUCCACGCAGUAAACGAUGAACACUAAUUGUCCGGCGGGAUUAUCCGCUGG
RNAcentral lists this ribosomal RNA (534 nucleotides) under uncultured bacterium. Its description in RNAcentral is "bacterial SSU rRNA". It matches the Rfam family "Bacterial small subunit ribosomal RNA", at positions 311 to 842 of the family's 1533-position model. The record is from RNAcentral.